UCCCUGAUAGCUCAGUUGGUAAAGAAUCUGCCUGCAAUGCAGGAGACCCUGGUUUGACUCCUGGGUCGGGAA
Molecule: transfer RNA, 72 nt
Filed under: Bos taurus (domestic cattle)
Lineage: Eukaryota; Metazoa; Chordata; Mammalia; Artiodactyla; Bovidae
Also listed under: 2 other names
Rfam family: tRNA
About the family: Transfer RNA (tRNA) molecules are approximately 80 nucleotides in length.
Source: Rfam by way of RNAcentral